UGGGGAAUUUUGGACAAUGGGGGAAACCCUGAUCCAGCCAUCCCGCGUGUGCGAUGAAGGCCUUCGGGUUGUAAAGCACAUUUGGCAGGAAAGAAACGUCAUGGGUUAAUACCCCGUGAAACUGACGGUACCUGCAGAAUAAGCACCGGCUAACUACGUGCCAGCAGCCGCGGUAAUACGUAGGGUGCAAGCGUUAAUCGGACUUACUGGGCGUAAAGCGUGCGCACGCGGUUCGGAAAGAAAGAUGUGAAAUCCCAGAGCUCAACUUUGGAACUGAAUUUUUAGCUACCGGGCUAUAGUGUGUCAGAGGGAGGUGGAAUUCCGCGUGUAGCAGUGAAAUGCGUAGAUAUGCGGAGGAACACCGAUGGCGAAGGCAGCCUCCUGGGAUAACACUGACGCUCAUGCACGAAAGCGUGGGGAGCAAACAGG
RNAcentral lists this ribosomal RNA (429 nucleotides) under Acidobacteriota bacterium. Its description in RNAcentral is "Acidobacteria bacterium partial 16S ribosomal RNA". It matches the Rfam family "Bacterial small subunit ribosomal RNA", at positions 355 to 776 of the family's 1533-position model. Lineage: Bacteria; Pseudomonadati; Acidobacteriota. The record is from RNAcentral.